GAUGGCUGCUCUCUCAGCAGGCUGCAUCACAGCUUCACCUGGAUUAGUGAUGUUUUGGGUAGGAUGUGCAGGAAGGAGAUAUUCUCUGCAGCGGGAGCAGGGAAUUAUUUUAUUUAAGGUACUGGUCAUUUCUGGGUCAGAUUGUUUUUUGAAUGAAGGUGGUAUGUGAACUGCAAAUGGGAAUUCCAGAGAGUGUGUCAUUGAGGUGCAAACAAUUUGUGGGAAAAGACAUAUACAUAUGAAUAUGGGGGAAAAAUAUUUUAAAGCUCUAGUAGAUGGGAGGAGAGGCAGCUUUCUCCAUUUUGCCUCACAGCAUCAUCAGCAGAGACAGACUCCUCCCACCCACUGGGCUCAUCAGUGUAACUCAGUGGGAGGUGGCUGCAUCAAGCCAAGGUGCUCCUUUCCCAGUAAGUGGGCACAUACAUACACUCCUGCUGGUGAUGACCCAGGGAGAGCAGCUACCCAGUAUAUUUCGGGUUGUGUUGGUGCAUCUGGCAUCCAACUUAAAAAUUAAGGGACUUGACUGUCAAGCAGAUGGACUCCUUGCCUUCAUUGAAAAGAAUUCAGCAUUCUACAGGCUUUGAGCAAUAGAAAAUAACAAAGGACUGGGAAACUCCUGGCAGCAGUAGUUACUGGCUGGUCAGGAUACCCCAGCUCUCCCCUCACCAGGAUUAAAUAAUGAGCCCUAUAAUGCACCACGGAUCCCGACUCUUCCACUUCAGGUCUGCCAGUUGGAGCAGCUGCUGGAUCCACAGCUCCCCACCUGAGGAAAAAGUGGGACUAGUGGAGACAAUCAUUGGAUUCUCAGCAUUUUCACUGGCAGUUCUUGGACCAGCUGGAUGGUUCCUGUGCCACCUUCCAAGCUAUAAAAAGAAAUAGAAAACAUCCCUUCAGAAUUAAGAUCUAAAGGCUGCAAUAAACUGUAAUGCUCCAAACUUGGAUUCUCUUGAAAGCCCUGAUACCGCAUAUGGCUAACUAAAGUCCCAGUUCACACACUAUUAUCCAUCCUGUAUGCCAGGUCCCAGGUCACAAAGCUUUUGCAGAUUUUGUAGAACUGGACCCAGAAAUUAAAUGGUGUAGGAAUGCAAAAUAGUGGCAGGUCUACUCUGCCAUCACCUGCUGCAUUGAACCAGUCUGUGUGUACCAGUCUGAAUCUGUGAUCAAGUACUGCGGGAAAUGGAAGAUCGGCAAGGAGGAUUGUAAACACGCUUGAGCGACCUGUAGUUUGGGUCUCAAAAAAAACAUAUAUCGUACUAAUUGUUGUUUGACCUUGUGUGUUAGACAAGUAAAACUUCUGUGUCUGGGCCUGUGAUAGCCUUAGAGGCACCCUAUCAAACAUGCUUGAGAUUCUUGCCCAGCUGUGGGCAAGGUUAAAGCACAGUAGUAAAUUAUGCUUGUGCAAAUCCCUGAAAUACAGGAGAAAAAAGCAGGUUGAGUGAUACUAUAGCAUGGAUCAAGCUUCACAGUGCCUGUGUUCUCGCCUGUGUGUCUCUUCUGACUGCUGCUUCAGUGAUCCCUAGUUGGCGAGGUAACAAAAAUGAAUUUACUCUUUGCAUUUAAUCUGUGGUUUUGUGGUUGUUCCUGUGUCCUGCCUGUGUCAGCUCUUACUGGUACUGUCAAAGCUUUAAACUAAAUAAAUGGGAGAAAAUACAGAAAAAAUAUUUUUAUAGUCAUCUCAGACAAAAAUCCGGAGAGUUUAAGAUUUUCUCCAAGGUUUCUCUUUAAUCUUUACACAUGUUCUUUUGGUGUGUUCCCCCACCCCGUCUACUCUUCCACAAGAAUAAAUGUUUUUCUGCAGAUCAUGAUUGUUAGAUACUUCACUUUAUUUUCAAUGUCUAGAUUAAAAUUUGUGACAUUUGAGAUAUUUUCCCAUGAUUGCUAUUUAUAAUAAAUGCUAUGAUAAAUA
Pipra filicauda (Wire-tailed manakin) is the source of this 1906-nucleotide long non-coding RNA. RefSeq lists it as uncharacterized. NCBI's taxonomy places the organism in Eukaryota, Metazoa, Chordata, Aves, Passeriformes, Pipridae. The transcript has 2 exons. The record is from RefSeq and is a predicted model, not a curated record.